GUGGUAGCUCAGUUGGUAGAGUGUUAAACUCAUAAUUCAAGGGCUGUGGGUUCAAUUCUUGCCAAGGCUA
This is a non-coding RNA of Potamilus streckersoni, 70 nucleotides long. NCBI's taxonomy places the organism in Eukaryota, Metazoa, Mollusca, Bivalvia, Unionida, Unionidae. The record is from the annotation of a GenBank genome assembly.